Molecule: non-coding RNA, 194 nt
Organism: Anas platyrhynchos (mallard)
Lineage: Eukaryota; Metazoa; Chordata; Aves; Anseriformes; Anatidae
Source: RefSeq, a predicted model, not a curated record
CAGGGUGAAAUGCAGUGUGCAGUGUGCAGUGCAGGACCUCUCGACCCAAGCUGCCUCUGCAGUGACUCUGGUGCGUGAUGAGCAGAGGUGGUGUGGAUGAUACUGGCUGCACUGUUGGAGCUUGGACUCGGAGAGGAACACGUGAGCACAAUCCUGAUGAUGAGCCUGGCAAUUGACUAAGAUGACAAUCAGUG